Molecule: non-coding RNA, 1861 nt
Organism: Xyrichtys novacula (pearly razorfish)
Lineage: Eukaryota; Metazoa; Chordata; Actinopteri; Labriformes; Labridae
Source: the annotation of a GenBank genome assembly
UGUGUAAUGGCAUGAAUGUGUUGAAUUAGUAAUCCCUUGUGUUAAGCCGUUGUUUUAGUGUUCUUUUGAUGAGUUUGGCUUGUUGUUAUGAAAAGUGUUUGUUUUGGCGACUUUGAACGUUUUUGAGCAUGUGUAAUGGCAUGAAUGCGUUAAGCUGUUUAUUUAGUGUUCUUUUGAUGAGUUUGGCUUGUUGUUAUGAACAUUGUUCGUUUUGGCGAGUUUGAACGUUUUUGAGCAUGUGUAAUGGCAUGAAUGCGUUAAGCUGUUGUUUUAGUGUUCUUUUGAUGAGUUUGGCUUGUUGUUAUGAAAAGUGUUUGUUUUGGCGAGUUUGAACGUUUUUGAGCAUGUGUAAUGGCAUGGAUGUGUUAAGCUGUUGUUUUAGUGUUCUUUUGAUGAGUUUGGCUUGUUGCUAUGAACAUUGUUCGUUUUGGCCAGUUUGAAGGUUUUUGAGCAUGUGUAAUGGCAUGAAUGCGUUAAGCUGUUGUUUUAGUGUUCUUUUGAUGAGUUUGGAUUGUUGUUAUGAAAAGUGUUUGUUUUGGCGAGUUUGAACGUUUUUGAGCAUGUGUAAUGGCAUGAAUGCGUUAAGCUGUUGUUUUAGUGUUCUUUUGAUGAGUUUGGCUUGUUGUUAUGAACAUUGUUCGUUUUGGCCAGUUUGAACGUUUUUGAGCAUGUGUAAUGGCAUGAAUGCGUUAAGCUGUUGUUUUAGUGUUCUUUUGAUGAGUUUGGCUUGUUGUUAUGAAAAGUGUUUGUUUUGGCGAGUUUGAACGUUUUUGAGCAUGUGUAAUGGCAUGAAUGCGUUAAGCUGUUGUUUUAGUGUUCUUUUGAUGAGUUUGGCUUGUUGUUAUGAACAUUGUUCGUUUUGGCCAGUUUGAACGUUUUUGAGCAUGUGUAAUGGCAUGAAUGCGUUAAGCUGUUGUUUUAGUGUUCUUUUGAUGAGUUUGGCUUGUUGUUAUGAAAAGUGUUUGUUUUGGCGAGUUUGAACGUUUUUGAGCAUGUGUAAUGGCAUGAAUGCGUUAAGCUGUUGUUUUAGUGUUCUUUUGAUGAGUUUGGCUUGUUGUUAUGAAAAGUGUUCGUUUUGGCCAGUUUGAAGGUUUUUGAGCAUGUGUAAUGGCAUGAAUGCGUUAAGCUGUUGUUUUAGUGUUCUUUUGAUGAGUUUGGCUUGUUGUUAUGAACAUUGUUCGUUUUGGCCAGUUUGAACGUUUUUGAGCAUGUGUAAUGGCAUGAAUGUGUUGAAUUAGUAAUCCCUUGUGUUAAGCUGUUGUUUUAGUGUUCUUUUGAUGAGUUUGGCUUGUUGUUAUGAAAAGUGUUUGUUUUGGCGAAUUUGAACGUUUUUGAUCAUGUGUAAUGGCAUGAAUGCGUUAAGCUGUUGUUUUAGUGUUCUUUUGAUGAGUUUGGCUUGUUGUUAUGAACAUUGUUCGUUUUGGCCAGUUUGAAGGUUUUUUAGCAUGUGUAAUGGCAUGAAUGUGUUGAAUUAGUAAUCCCUUGUGUUAAGCCGUUGUUUUAGUGUUCUUUUGAUGAGUUUGGCUUGUUGUUAUGAAAAGUGUUUGUUUUGGCGAGUUUGAACGUUUUUGAGCAUGUGUAAUGGCAUGAAUGUGUUGAAUUAGUAAUCCCUUGUGUUAAGCUGUUGUUUUAGUGUUCUUUUGAUGAGUUUGGCUUGUUGUUGUGAAAAGUGUUUGUUUUGGCGAGUUUGAACGUUUUUGAGCAUGUGUAAUGGCAUGAAUGCGUUAAGCUGUUGUUUUAGUGUUCUUUUGUUGAGUUUGGCUUGUUGUUAUGAACAUUGUUCGUUUUGGCCAGUUUGAACGUUUUUGAGCAUGUGUAAUGGCGUUAAUGUGUUGAAUUAGUAAUCCCAUGUGUUAAGCCG